GUGUCCUCCCUUUCAUUAACUGUUUUGACAUUUCUUGAGUUUGGAAUGCUUUUACUAGCUACUUUCAUCGCUCUAACUUACUGAUUUAAUGAAAAAGUAUGUUAAAUUAAUAUAAAGAUUGAUAUAGAUAAGUCUUCAUGAUUUGAAUUCUAAUGAAAAAGUGUUAAAAAAAAUCUGUUUUACAAGAUAAAGGUCAUGUGUGUUGUCUGUGAGGGGACAUUGUUAGCAACAAAACAAUUCUUAGACCUUUAUAGAGUUUACUUGAUUUCUAUUCAUUUACUUUCAAGUGUAAUUAGAAAAAUGCUAUCUAUUUUCACACUGGUGACCAGUAUUAUAUUGCAUUUUUGGUAUCAUGUUCUUUAUUUAUAUCAAACUAUGAAGAUUGUUUUUUCCAUUCAUGUAUAAAGGUAAAAUCAUAUCUGCAUAUGAGGGUAAAUACAUAAUUUAUUAAUGCUCUGAGUUUUGUUCAUUGCAUUUUUAUAUUAGUAUUGCCCAUUUAGUGGCUAUUUCCCAUUUUAAUAUGAACAUUCUGAGAGGACACUCUUUACAUUUGCAAACAUGUUGGAGUGUAAUGUAAAACUUGUCUAGUUCAUUGAAGUAUGUCAGCUAGGGAUUGGAGAGACAACCUUUAAAUAAACAAAAACCUCACAAAUUUUAUUGUAUGCUGAAAGAGAGCUAUCCCAAUAAAAAAAAAGUUUGAAAACCAGUCGGCAUAAAGUAUUGACAUAAAAC
Molecule: non-coding RNA, 732 nt
Organism: Biomphalaria pfeifferi
Lineage: Eukaryota; Metazoa; Mollusca; Gastropoda; Planorbidae
Source: the annotation of a GenBank genome assembly